AAGCAAGGCAUGAAAUAGUGUGGCUCAACCAUACUGCUAUGUUUUGAACUGAUAGACUAGAGGAUGAGAGAGGUUAUUGGAAUUCCAAGUGUAGGGGUGAAAUCCGUAGAUAUUUGGAGGAACACCGAUGGCGUAGGCAGAUAACUGGCUCAUUCCUGACGCUCAGGCACGAAAGCGUGGGUAGCAAACGGGAUUAGAUACCCCGGUAGUCCACGCCGUAAACGAUGGAUGCUA
RNAcentral lists this ribosomal RNA (234 nucleotides) under uncultured Candidatus Saccharibacteria bacterium. RNAcentral describes it as "partial 16S ribosomal RNA". It matches the Rfam family "Bacterial small subunit ribosomal RNA", at positions 585 to 818 of the family's 1533-position model. The record is from RNAcentral. Lineage: Bacteria; Candidatus Saccharimonadota.